This 16311-nucleotide long non-coding RNA is filed under the name Capsicum annuum. RNAcentral describes it as "long non-coding RNA (CANN_LNC012772)". The record is from RNAcentral. Lineage: Eukaryota; Viridiplantae; Streptophyta; Magnoliopsida; Solanales; Solanaceae.
GGAGGAACAUGUUAUAUUAUGAUGAUGCCCGAUGAAUCCGAAGGAAUAUGUGAUAUUAUGAUGGUGCCCGGUGAAUCCGAAGGAAUAUGUAAUAUUAUGAUGAUGCUCGGUGAAUCCGGAGAAAUAUGUGAUAUUACGAUGAUGCUCGAUGAAUCUGGAGGAAUAUGUUGAUAUUGUGAUGAUGCCCGGUAAAUCCAGAUGAGGUAAGAACAUUGUGAUGCCAUGUGGGGCAAAUUUACUUAUAUGCAUUGAUAUUUGUAAGGUUAGGCCGUGUGGGGCCAACCUCCUAUGUGCUUGAGAUAUGAGGUCUCUCUUGGUAUAUUUCUAUUCAUUUCUUGCUCUAAAUCACUAUAAGAGGUGUGAACCUUGUUGAUGCUAAAUUAGUAACUAGAGGAAACCUAUGCCUAAUAUUGAGUUAAGACUUAGUGGUAUGAAGAAUCUUUCGUAGAAUCAAGGGCUAACCUAAUAUAUCUUCUUGACUUAAAUAAGAGGUUAUAUUAUGAAAUCUUGCCUAGUAAGGUGGCUUAUGUGAUAACUGGUUACUUCUAAAAUAUAUGAUUUCUAUUUGGAGGCUAGAAACCUAGUAAACUAGUUGGUGGACUUUACUUGAUUAAAAUAUGGAAAUUAGUCCUUAAGGUUGUGACAUGCUUAGUGAUGAUGGACCUAGUAUUGCAUAAUGGUUAGUUAAAUUAUCUUCGAAUAUGUGAGGUUGAAAUGUCUUAAUUGAUAACUUAUAUCAUGAAGAUGCUAGCUAACGAAUGGCCUUGUGAUAGGUGAAUAACCUAUAAUAUGGGUGGCUUGUAGUUUUCCCCAAUGUGAUGGCUAGUAAUGAUAAGACUUAUAAUCUAUUGAAUUAUAGAAAAUAAGGCUAACGAGUAUCAAAUUCUCGCGGUGUUUAUCAAUAAAUUAUAGUAUUAAUGACUACAUGUCUAUGCUAUGACAAUGUUGCUUUCUUUAUGUUAAAUUACGGUAUGGGUAUUUGGAAGUGGAUUUUGGUAAUAAGCUAUGGCAAGAUUGAGCUAUCCAUGAUUUCUGUCAAUUGAUGAAAUAGUUGUGCUUUAUUGUAUUAUAGUUGUAUUAUUUUGGUGUACUCUCAGGUGGUAUGGGAUGCCGUGAUGAGUUCUUGUUUGAUAUUCUUUUGUGUACUCUCUGGUGGUAUAGGACGCCGUGAUGAGUUCUUUGUUGUGCUCUCUUUUGUGUACUUUCCGGCGGUAUGGGACAUUGUGGUAAGUUCUUGUACUUAUUGUUCUAAAGAUGGUUGAUGAUGAUUAUAGGAAGUAGAUGAUUUGCUAUUGUGUAUGUGGCUUUACGAUUUCGAAAUGAUAUUCGGUUGUUAUGGAGAUUAUGGAGUACAUUGAGAUAGUAUGUCAUGUCAUUGCUUUAGUAGUAUAGAUGUUGUUACAGUGGUAUCAAACCAGAUUCAGGUUUGAUCCCAUCCCUUGACUUUAAGAUUAUUGUCUUACUUUAUAUCGUCUUUAUAUUAUAUUUGAGUUCAGUCGGCCGAUGAUGCCUACUGAGUACUCGUAUUUUGGUACUCAUACUACACUUCUGUACCUUUUGGUGCAGACCCAGGUUCUAGUUGCCACAGUUGGAUAUCGAUAUGAGAUCAAUAUCUAAAAACUAUCUACCAUACCAAAAUUAGUACCGAACAUCAACCAUAAUGCCCAUAUACAUAGUAGUCUAACAAAGCCCCUAACAAAACCGAAUACCAGUAAAUGUUGGGACAUGCCCCCGACCAUAGCCAAAAUAAAUCUAAAUUAAAGUCCAAGACAAGGGAAACUAAAAUAUGAAAUAAAGUCUUCUAAAGAAUGGAAGCUCACUACUUCAAGUCAACUCUUGAUCUAACUACGAACACCUGAUCACUGUGCGGAAAAGGCAUAGUUGCCUUUGGAUACUGCAUCGCGUAGGGAUACAACGUUCGAAGAUGGUUAACAGUUGGAGCUGUAGCAUCUAACUCAGAGAUAAAAGAAUAAAGUAAUGCCAUAAUCCAUAAUAUGAAACCCCGUAAAACCUAAUGCACCACAUCAUAUGCAAUACGUCUAUAUAUAUAUAUCAUAUGUCGGGGAAAAGGGAACAAGGCUUGGCAUGAGAGUAAAACCUUAACCUGGACUAUGUAACUCUAUCGUUCUAAAGGCACCCACGAGCUAUAUGGGUUCAGCUCCCCUGUUGAAAGGGCCCCAGUGCAUGUUACCCGCAUAUAUUAGAGAAAACCCAAGAAGGCUAAUGCCAUUCCCAAAAUAUAAAGUGUGUCUCAUGCGCACGAUCACCAUGAUCAAACCUCACGUUGGCAAAUAUGAGUUUUCGAUAUCGGUCCCCUCGGGACCUCCACCUUUUAUGGAUUUGCUACACAACCUCUUUUAAGCCCAUAUUAAAACCAUUUACACAUUACCAAUCAUUUACCAAGGAAUAUUUUAAUUAUGCAUUUCUUGUUGGUAUCGUUAUACCAAAAUUAAAGCUUGCAAGUCUAUCCCUUAAUGCCAUAUGAAACCAUUAAACCAAAUUUGACUCUAAAGGUUUCAAUUAAACCAAAACCAUUGACACCAAGGCCUUUCCAAAACCAUUUGAAAACCAAACCAAACCAAUUCAUGUUCCGUUAACCAUUUAUGCAAUGCAACGAUUCGAAGAAUAGUCAAACUUUGAGACAAAAUCAUAUUCAUUGUCAAUUUCACAAACAGGUUGAGGGCACAUAAUUUUCAACACCAUAUAUCAAGGCAAAAUCAUCAAAUUAGGAAUUAACCAUGGCCUCUUAGUUUAAUUAUCAUUCCCAUGCAUUCCACAAUGUUCAAAAUCAUAAAUAAAGCAUAAUUAUUGCAUAAUAAACCAUGGAAAAAUAUUUCUUCCAAUCAAAUUCACAACCCUUAACCCAUAGUUCAAAAUCCAUUAUCAAAAUCAUGAAUAAUAAGCAAUUUCAUGUCAUUAAUAAAAUACAAGUAUAGGAAAAGAGAUACAUGCCUUAAUUACCAAGAAACUCGAAGAAAUUGACAUCCUUAGGACCCUAGAUGACCACCUCUUUGAACCCUUAUCUUGACUUGAAAAGGAAAAUUUGAGAGAGCAUAUUUAAGAGUGGAUAAUGAACUUCGUAUAUUGAAACUUGAUAUAAAUAGGUCCUUAUAGUAAUUGAAAAUUAUUUAUAGGAGAAAAGACCUCACUACCUCUUUUUCUUUUUUUAAUUAAAUAAAACAACCGCAAAAUAAUACAGGUCCGUGAGGCUAACCUCCGUGACACGGACCGUAUCGCAGAUAUUAUCCUCUAUGACACGGGGAUAUUGUGGAGGUUUACUGCCUCCGUGACCCAAAACUAACCCGAACCCCGUCCAAAACUUUUGAAACUCUUUUGAGUUACCCUUUUAACACCUCGAACAUAAUUUAAGUCAAGAAAAUCAAUAUUUCAAGAACAGAAAGGCCAAAAAUGAAAUACCCAAAAUUUCGAGGGUGUUACAUUGCCAACCUUCUAUGACAAUCUUUCCUCGACUAUUCUGAUACGUACAAAGAAUCUUUUCUCGAGAAAAUCAAAUUGCUCUCAAGUCUCCAAAGGCCAAAAAACAAAUAAAAAAUGGUAUGCUUUUAAUUCCAACUAGUUUAGCUGCACGUGCCUCGCACGUGUAAUUUUUGAUUAUUUAAAAUUAAACGAUUUUAUCUAUUACGAAGGUUUUUAAUGAAGUACAAAAAGUUCAAAACAUAUAUUUUGUAGUAAGCACAUAUAUAUAUGAGAAAAAUAAUUACAUUGUUAGGUUCGAACAUACGAGAAUAUCAAACCUAGAAAUCAAAAUUCACAAAUAAAACAGAUGUAAUAAUGCAUGAUGUAUUAAACUUAAAAUCACUCCCAAGCUAAAGAAAAAAUAAUAAGCCACAACAACCAAUAGAAAAGAAAAAACAACUCAAAAAAAAAAAAAGAGAAAGAGAAUAACGCACUAACCUAGCGGAUGACAAUUACAAUGGUUGAAGAAAACAUAAAAUACAAAGCAUGGGGCGAGACAAUAUAUAUUAAUAUAAAAAUAUAUUAAAAAUUAAACCUAGUCAUAGUUUAAGAAAAAAAACUUACCAUAUUUUAAAGUCCUAAUCCAUUACCAUAUUUUAAAAUCCUAACCCACAUAUUCUAGGAUUCAAAAUUAUAUAUAUAUAAUUAAAUAAUAAUUGGAGAAAAAAAAGUGAAAAAACGAUUUUAUCUAUUGUAAAGUAUUUUAAUGAAGGGCAAAAAGUUCAAAUCACUUUUCUAACGUCCUUCAUACUUUUAAUAUAUUAUAGAUUAUAGAUAUAAAUAUAGAUAUCAUAGCUCUUAUUUAUCUUUAUGUACCUUCUUAUUUACGUUUAAGUUACAAGAAUUUGUAGUUCUAAUCCUUAAUUACAACCACUGCAAAUCAUGAUUUUUAAUUGGAAAUUGUUGAUAUCUUCAAAUGAUCUUUACUAAAGUGGUUCAAAGAUUUAAAUGGGUUCAAGAUAGAGAUUCUUCUACAACCUUUUUGAUUCUUUUUGAUUGCGUUAUUUUUCAAUUCUAAUAGUUUAAAAUAAUUUACAAAGACUAAAACUACACAUGAUGAUCGAUUUGAGUUGUGAGAUUCACUUUCUUUUCGAUUUUAGAAGUUCUUAACAAUCAAUGCUAUUUAAAUUUAGGAGUGUUAUAUUUCAAAUUCUAUGCACUUUCACGAGUGCUUUCAAUUUCUUUCACAAAAAAUUUCUUGAUGGUAUAAUUUAUAUGAAUAUCAUUAGCAAUUCAAGUUUUAUUUUAAAUAACUUGGGAAAAACGUGCAACACACGUUUUCAUAGAUUCAUAAAUUUAAUAUUUUAAAUAAAUUAAGUUCUUCUAUUUAGAAUAGAAAAUUAAAUAAUAUCUCUUGAAUGAAAUAUAUAUAUGAUAUAUAUUUGGUAUUUAUUUAUAUAUGAUAUAUAAAUAAUAUAUUAAUAAGGAACAUGAAUCCAAUUUGAAUUGGAUGAAUUAGUCACAUGAAAUUUAAUAUGAUAUUGAAUUGAACUUUUAAAAAAUUAAUAGUCAUAUAUGGAAAGUUCAAAAGGACUUCAGCAAUGUAAGCUGCAAGUUUCAAUUAGGAAUUAGAAUAGAAUUCCGACGUGAAUAAUUUCAUAAAGUUUAAUUUUGGUAUUAAAUUUUUACCCCGAGUAAGUUAUUAACUUAAAAGGUUUAUAGAUAAUUCUAUAUAAAGGUUGAUGAAAAAAUUUCAUAGUACAAGUUUUUUUUCAAAAAGUUCAUGAACAAGUUUACAAAAAAAAAAAGUUUUCAUUAUGAAAAAGGAUUUUUCACAAUGAGAAAAGUUUUCAUCAUGAAAAAGGUUUUUACUGUGAGAAUAAUUCUUAUGAGAAAAUACUUUAUUGAAAGUAUGUGAGUUCUAUACCAAAUCAAUAGAGAAAAUAUAAUUGACAUUGUUUUUUUGUUUCAUUUAUUGUGGGUUGAGAUUUUUGAAAAACAUUUUAACACAAUAUUUGAAAUUAAAUUUGUUCGUAAUUUUCAUUGAUCAAGGAGUUGAUAACAAAGAUUGAUCUCAGUGUAGACACAUAUAGAGUCUUCGUACCAGAUUUGUCUUGAAACUUAAUCCUUAGAUAUUAUAAAUUUUAAAUGUAAGUAGAUUUGUCUAGAGUUGCUUCUCGUCUUUCACUAUGUGUUACGAACAUCCUGCAAUCCUACAGCGGUAUCAAAUCCAGAACUCUUUGUUUUUAGAAUUUAUUAGUAAAUUCUUCUUACAUAUUAUAUUUAAAAAGUUCAAUUCUAAUAAUUUGUAUUGAUAUAUUUUUUUAUUGUGAAUAAAAGUAUAUUAGGUACAUAUGACGAAUUAACUUCGAAGUUCAUGACAUGAAUAUAUAAGGCUAAAGUCAUCGAUAGAUACUCAAACUUAUUGUCAAAAUUCACUUAGACACCUAAACUAAGGCCAGUUCCUAUCAGACCUCUAAACCCCCCACAUUUUGUUCCAAUUGGGCCUUUUGUGCCCUAUCAGCAAAAAGCUCAAAGUGCGUGUUGCACACAUGCGAUGACGUGGCAAAAUGAGCUAAUUGGAAGCUGACAUGUGGCAUUGUGGGUCCAAUAAUUAUUAAAAAUUAAUUAUAAUUUUUUUUAAAAAGUAUAUACAAAUGGCAUUGAGGAAAUUACUAAAAAAUGAUUCUAAAAUUAUGUAAAAAAUAAAAAAAAUUGAUUUUUUAAAAAAAUUAUAAUUUGUUUUAAAAAUAAAAUAAAUUAUUAAAAAAAUAUUGAACAAAUUUAAUUUUUAAGAAAAAUUAUAAAUUUUUUAAAAAAUGAAAAUAAAAAAUGGCGAGGAUAUAAAUUAUGAAAAAUAAUAUAAAAUUAUUUUGAAAAAUAAAAAUAAAAAACUGAUUAUUAAAAAAAAUUAUAAAAUUUUAAAAAAAUGAAAAUAAAAAAUGACAUUGAGGAUCCAAAUUAUAAAAGAAUAAUUAUAAAAUUAUUUAAAAAAUAAAAAUUUAAAACUAGUUGUUAAAAAGAAGUUAUAAAUUUUUUAAAAAAUGAAAAUAAAAAAUGGCAUUGAGGAUAUAAAUUAUGAAAAAAAAAUAUAAAAUUAUUUUUAAGAAAACUGAUUAUAUAAAAAUAUUAUAAAAAUUUUUAAAAAAUAAAAUAAAUUAUUAAGUACUUAUUUAAAAAAUAAAAAAUUAAUUAUUGAAAAAAAUUAUACUUCAGCAUAUGUUUUAUUAAAAAAAAAAAAAUUAGGACCCCUUAAUGCUUUUUGUCUAUUUAAAAAGGGCCUUUAGUGUUAAUUUUUUUUUUUUUUUGUUAUUAAAAAAUUUUUGGGGCCCUCAAUGCCACUUGACAUAUUUUUAUUUGUAAAUUAUUCUACUUUCUAUUACUUUCUUUUUUUUUUUUUCUUCUUUUUUUCUUUUCCUUUUUUUUUCAUUUUCUCUUUUUUUUUUGUUUUAUUUUUUUAUUUUUUUUAUUUUUCUCUCUAUUUUCUAUUACUCUUUUUUUUUUCUUUUAUCAGUUUUUUUUUCAUUUUUUCUUUUCCUUUUUUUGUUUUCUCUUUCUUCUUUCUUUUUUAUUUUUCGUUGUCUUUUUUUCAUUUUAUCUUUCCUUUUCUCUUUCUUUUCUUUUUUCAAUUUUUUCGUUUUCUUUUAUAUUUUUUUCUUUUAUUUUCCUUCUUAUUUUUUCUCUAUUUUUUAUUACUCUUUUUUUCAGUUUUUUUCUUCAUUUUUUCUUUUCCUUUUUAUUUUCUCUUUCUUCUUUCUUUUUUGCUGUCUUUUUUAUUAUUUUGUCUUUUUUUGUUCUUCUUUUCUUUUUUAUUUUUUCUCCUUCUAUUUUUUCUCUAUUUUCUAUUACUCCCCCCCCCCAACCCCCCCCCCUUUUUUUUUGUAUUUUUUCUCACAUUUUUCUCCUUUUUCUCUUUUUAUUUUUCUUCUUCUUUUCAUUUGUGCGAACUAGCAAACAUAAAUAUAAGUGUGAACUAUAAAAUAUAAAUACAGAGGCGUAUUAUAACAUACAAAUAUAAGUGAAAACUACAAAAUAUAAAUACAAAUGCCUAUAACAUAUAGAUACAAGUGUGAACUAUCAUUUGUAUUUUUUAAUUAUUGAAAAGGAACGAUUGAUUUUCUUUUUAUAAAUAUUUAUUUGUAUUUAUUUAUAUGAGUUAUAUUUAUUGAUACAAAUAAAUACAAUUCAGAUUUUUAUAAAAAUACAAUAUGCAUUUGUAUUUUUAAAAUCAUUGGUUUCAUUUGUUUGUAAUUAUAUUUGUAUCAAGUGAUAUUUAUUUAUUUACAAAUACGAACAAUAAUUUUGACAUAUAAAUAUAAAACGGUACAUUUGUAUCAAAUGAUACAUUUCAUAUUUAUAUAUUGUAGAAUCAAGAAAAUACAAUUAAUGCAUUUACUUGUUUGUAUACAAAUACAAAUGAUAAAUUGUACAUAAUCACCGCUAAAUAUAAUAUGUAAUCAACUUACAAAUACAAAACAAAAUAAUUCUUUAAAAAUAAAAAGAUAUCGACGAAAAUAGAAUACAAAUACAAAUAUAAUCUAAAAAUACAUACACAAUAAAAUCAUAAUACAAAUAUAAUCCAAUAUAAUAUACAGUCAAUUAUAAAAUACAAAACAGUUCUUUAAAAUACAAGUGCGAAUUAUAUAAAAUAUAAAUGAUGGUGCGAACUAACAAAUACAAAUAAAAGUGCGAACUAUAAAAUACAAAUAUAAAUGCGAACUAUAAAAUACAAAUACAAGUGCGAACUUUAAAAUACAAAUACAAAUAUACUUGUAUCAAUGAAUACAAAAAUAUAAAUGACGGUGUGACUACAAAUAGAUAAAUAAUCAUGGUAUUUAUGUUAUCAUCAAUGACUUGUGCUCGAGUAGUUAUAUUUUUUAAAAAUACAAAAAUAUAAAAUAGAACAAAAAAAUAAUAAAGCAAAAAAGUACAAAAAAAAAGAAAGAAAGAGAGAUAGAAGAGAAAAAAAUAUAUAAAAAAACAAAAAAAAUAAAAAUAGAAAAAAUUAGAAAAAAGAAGAAGAAAAAACAAGGAAAACACGAAGAAGAAGAAAUAUUAAAAAAAUAAAAAGAAAGAAAAUGGUAGUAUUUUUGGCAAGACUAAAUAUGUAGUGUAUUUAUGUUUUUAUGAAUAUAGACCACUAAGUAAAAGUGAAUACAGCGGCUGUGAAUCAAAUACAACAACUAAAUGGUACUGUAUUUAUAUUUUAUAUGAAUACAGAGUAUUGAUAAAACCGAAUACAAUGGGCGUAAAUUGAAUUCAAUGGCUAUAAAUGAUAAUUAUGUAAAAUAUGGUUAUGAAAGGUGAGUUUUCCAGCAAAAUGUAGCUAUUUUUGAAAAAUCCCCUAUUUUUUACCUGUGAGAUAAAGUGAAAUUAGGACUAUGCAUGUAAAUGACUUAAACUAAAUUCACAUGCUAUGAGUGAUUGGAUCACCAUAAUUAUUGAAAAUUAUUUUAAUAAUGAUUUCUUUCCACUAAAAUUUGAUUUCUUAACUAAUAAGUAAUAAGAAAUUUACUAUAUAGCUAUCCAUCGAAAUAAAUACUUUUAUUUAUUUCUUAUUUACAACACCAGGAGGCUGGUAGUUUGAGAAUAAAUUAAAAUUAUUUAUUGCAUUAAAUAGGCGGAUAAAAAGAAUUAUUUAAUUUUUAUACUAUUGCCUACUAUUCGGGGUGUGUUAAAUUUUGAUCGAAUCUUUUUGACAUGAUGGUUGAACUCAACUAUGUCAAUAGGAACGAUCUGACUAUUAGAUACGUAUUAAUAGAUAGAGAUACAAGAUUAUUUAACAACAGAUACAUAUAAAUUAAACAAGUAAAUGGUAUUAUGAUUACAUCGUCUAAUACCGUAGAGCUUUUCGAUAUAGCGCUAUUUAAGAAAGUUGUGUAGAAAUAUAAUUGGUAAGCGUACCUACCUUUAAAAUAUGUGUGACUAACAACUUGACUAUUAGUUGGCUUAUAUAUAUAUUUAUAUUUAUUUAUAAUAUAUUAAAAGUGUGAAGACUCUUAGUAAAGUGAUUUAAACUUUUUGCCCUUUAUUAAAAAAUUUCACAAUAGACAAUAUAAUCUUUUUAAUAUUUUUCUACAUUUAUUAUUUAAUUAUAAUCAUAUUUAUAAUAUUAGCUCCUAAAUAUAUGCAAAGAAUCGUAAUAAAAUAAGGACUUUUAAUUCCCAAAAUAUAUGGUAAGUCUUUUUCUUUUUGUACAUGAAAAGGAAUCCUAAAAUGUGACUCCUAAAAUAGAUGGUAAGAGAUUAGAAAAAUUAAUAUAUAAAGAGAAUUUUUAUAAACUUGUAUGAGAUGAAAAACGGAUUGUUAUGGUUUUAAAAAAAUUUCAUUAAAAGAAACCGGCAAUUAAAUUUCGUUGACUUACAUAUGCAUAUUUGAAGCAAGAGUUGUAACUUGUAAGUGCACCAUUUGCUUUCAAUUCUUUUUUAUCUAUAGUUAAUUUUUUAAAUAAAGAAUGUAUCAUAUCAAUAUUAACUAGAUCACAUUAUUACAAUAAGUAGUGAAUGAUAUUUUUACUAUAUUUUAAUUUAAGUUUUUUUUUUUUAGAUUGUUCUUUGUUAUUUGAUUUAUUAGAAUUUUUACGUCAGUAAAAUUUAUUGAUGAUAUUUGAUAUAUUAAUAUGUUAUUGAAGUUUAUAAUAAAUUAAAUAUCAUGUAUUUUUACAGACAAUUGCUAAUUGAGAAUUUUUUUUUUUUUUGUAAAAUCUUGAUAUAUGUUAUGAUUAAAGAAACAAAUUGAUUAGUCAUUUUAAUUCUAUAUGAAUUUUUUAAAAUCGAAUAAAUUGUGAAUAAACUAUCAGACCUGACAUCUCUCUAUUAUCUUUUAAUACCAGGCUCUAAUGGUUGUUUUUUUUAUGGUUCAAACUAUAUCCUUUAAAGUUUAAAUAGAUACAAAAUUUUUUUUAACGUGAAUUGCUACUUAAUCGAUGAGAGGCACGUGCAAAGUACGUACAUUGAACUAGUAUAUAUAUAUAUAUUGAAGGAUUCCUUUAAUCCACUAAAAGAAAUAGAGCUUUCUUACGCCAUAAUAAGGGUCUAUGGUAAUUAGUGAAAAUAUCAUUUAGAUAAAAGUUCAUGUCUUUAUGAUACAUGUAAAUAUGUUCUUGCUUUGCAUUUUUUGCUUUUGUACAUUUAAUUUGUCAAUAUGUCUGGUACAUUAUUACAUGGAAUACUUGAGGUUGAUAAAUUGGUAUGAACAAAUUUUGAUGACUGAUAUAUAAAUUCGAGAAUUAUUCUCAUGCAUGAAGAGCUAACUAAUGAGAUCAAUAAGCUUGACAAAACAAAUCCUCUUGAGGAUGGCGCUAGGACAUAAAAAUUUAUCAGAAAUAUUGACAGAAUGUCUUCUAAUCAUAUGCAUCAUUUUUCACUUCUAUGAGUCUUGAACUCUAGAGAAAAUAUUUGGAUUCAAAAUAAGUUGUUGAACGUUUUGAGAAGACAUUUAAUUAGUGUAAGGUACACAAAGUAAAAUAGUUAGAUUCUAGUUAUCUAUGGCUUUAUUUGAAUCCAAGUUGACUGUAACUUCUUCAAUCGGUCACACAUUAAUCAUGAAUGAUAUUAUUAAAUGAAUUGAGAAUUGACGUGUAAAUUGAAAAAGGAAUUUCUCAAGAUUUGAUCUUUCAGUCAUUAUACGAAUUUAAAGUAGAGUGUUUUCACUUAAAGAAGAAAGUACAUUGAAAGAAAAAUUACAAGGAGUCUCUUGCAACUCCAAAGAUAAGAAAUAAUGUAAGAUCUAUAGUAUUUUGAAAGAGUUCAAGAUAAGUAGUAGGUUAAAUAAAAGUAUAAGUUAAUAUACAAGUUUAAAAUGGUGCAAGAGGUGCAACAUUAAUUGCAUACUGAAUUUCUCCUUUAACGGCUACAAACAAGAUACUUAUGUUGAAAAAUUGUCAUUAUAUUCCUAAAUUUGUUUCGAACAUAAUUUCAAUUUUAUGUUAGAGAAGUAAAGUUGUUGAUUAAUUCAAUAGCAUGUUUACUAUUUUUCAUAAUGAUGAAUUGUAUGUGAAUAGCUAUUUUCAACAUGAUAUUUUAUAUCUUACGUAAUGUGAAUGCUAAUUCGAUUAUGCAUGUUUUUAAUCUUAAGAGGAAAACAGAUGAUCAAAUAAAUCAUAUAAAUCCUAAUUAGUAAGCUUGGUUAUAUUAUAGAGAAUAGAUCUAACAAGUUGUAUAAGGAAAGUUACCUUGAAAAACAUGGAUUUGAAUCAUACCUAACUUGUGAAAUCUUAUCUCAAAGCAAAAAUGACCAAAGCUCAAUUUAUUGAAACUGGUGACAAAGCUUCUGCAUUAUUCGGACUAACUUAUAUAGAUGUUUGUAGGUCCAUGAAAACUCAAGCUAAAGGUAAAUAUUGUUAAUCUAUCACCUUAAUUGAUGAUAUAUGAAUUGUGUAUAUGAUAAAACACAAAUUCGAAUCUCUUGAAAUGUUCAAAAGAUGUCAUAAUGAAGUUGAAACUAUACUUGUAAAAGUAUUAAGAUACUAAAGUUUGACAAAUUAUAGAAUAUGAUAAUUUACUAAAUAUCACAAAGAGAAUAAUAUUUUCUUAUGGUGAAUGCCUCCAGUAUCACCACGAAAUAUUGUAUCAAAUCAAACCAUAUUAGAUAUGGUGAGAUCCUUAUGGGGAUCACUAAUCUUCUAAUAAUUUUAUGAAAAUAUGCUUUAGAAGCAACAAUAUACUUGAAUAAUAAAGUGAUCAUUAAGUCAGUCUCUGCAAUACUAAUGAAAUAUGAAAGGAAUAUAACCAUAAAUUUGACAAGUUAAAGUUUGGAGUUGUCCAACUUAUGUUAGACGAUUGCAAUCUAAUAAACUUGACUCCAAAUUUAAUAAGUGUGAAUUCACUAGAUAUCCAAAGAGAUUGGAAAAUAUGAUUUAUAUCACCUCUAAAAACAUAAAGUGUUUAUGGAAAAAGGAACAACCUUUUGGAAAAGGAGUUCCAUUUGAAAGAAAAUACCAGCAUAGAAAUAGAACUUCGUGAAUUUCAAAAAACUAAUGAAUCGACACCAAAUAAAAAACAUGAGAUACAAGUUGAGAAGCUUUUAUUGGAUAUCUUGAAAUUAAUAAGGAGGUUUUCAUAUUCAGUGGUUGAAGUUCAAGAACAUAAUGAAUUUCAUAAUUAGUUAAUCAAUCAGUUCUAAAUCAAAUUAAACAAUAAACGCAAUAUAUAGGUGAGCAAAAUUAUAAAUGUACCUCUCAAAAAUUUAUUGAUAAUAUCAUACAUCAAAUAGAAUGAAUCUAAUCGUUAAGAUAAUAUCUUAGAUGAGAUUGAUCAUAAUGAUGAUAAUUCAAAUACUUAUGAAGAGGUGAUACAAAAUUCCAUUUAUGAAAGUUGCUAAGCUACAAAGGAUCUAUUUAUGAACUAAAGAAAAUAUUUUAGAAGUUGAAAUGUUUGCUUCAACAAGACAACUGAAAAGUUCAAUUGUGUGAAGAUGAACUUUGUGUGUAUGAAAGAUUAGUUGGAUCAUAUUAUAUUUUAGUGCAAUAUAUUGCUGAUAUAGGAUCUUAUAUACAAAUUACCAGUAUAACCAAAUUUUGGCCGUUUAAAUAGUUUUUUAUGAAAACUUGAAAGAAGUGACUUAUUUCUUGAGAAUAAAGAUCUAUGGACGUAGAUGAUCUAUAAAAAUAGAUACAAGAAGAUACUUAAUUUUUCUAAAAUACAUAUUAACUAAAGCUAUUGGUGCAAAGGAGUUUGAUUAGGCAUAAGUGAGAAUUGAGAAUAAAGUACAUUAAUGAUUGACUCUAGUGCAAGUGGGAGAUUGUAAGGGAUAUAGUAGAUAUGCGCUGGAUCAAAUCUUACAUGUGAUUGUAACAACCUAAAUUUUUGAUGUUAUAUGUGAAAUAUGUGUUUUUGUAUGAUUAACUAUUUUACCCCUCUCUAUAGUUUCAUUAUAGUAUUAUCUGGGAUGUAGAGGUAAUUGGCAUGGUUUUCAAUGCAUUUUGGUACCUUUUAUGCGAUAUUAUAGUUUUUGAAGGCUUCGAGAGCCUUAUUAUGGACUUAAAUGGUUAAAUUUUGAUCAGUGCAAUAGAUGGAUAAAUAAACUAUGCCAGUAAAUUCAGAACAUUGAUUUUAGGGUGGUAACAUAUUUGGUGUGGUUUUAUGACUUAAAUCUCAUUUUGAUCCUCGGUUUAAAACAUUAUGAUUUUGGAUUUGGGGGUCAACUUUGUCAAAAUAACAUUUUUUGAAAAUUUGAUAUCGCUACUGAGUUUGGAGCAUCGAAUUUAGUAUGGUUACAUAGUUCGUAUACAUAUAUCAAAUUUUGAAUGAAUUCUGAGUUCUUGGUUUCUGGUGCAUGUACGAUCACACCACUUGAGUGGAGAUAGAACAUGUGUGAUAGAUAAGGUAGUGUAAUCGCACAAAGGGUGUUGACGAUCUCCAUACUUCCUUCUACUGCUGUGUGGGAUUGCACAUCUAGGUUUGCAAUUGCAAUACCUGAUUACCUAGAAGGGGUAUAGUAUAAAUAGACCCCUUAGGUCAUGAAUUGACUUAUUAUUCAUCUUGCCUCUUGAGAGAUAAAUCCUAAAAUAGUAUGGGAGUUUAAAAGUAAAGCUUAUGGGUGUUUGAGAAGCUAGAUUAACAUCCAUUUAUUGAUUCUCUUAUGGAUUUAAGGUUAGAAUUCACCCAUUUCUUAGUGAAUUUCUUGAUUAAUUGCUCAAAACCCCAAAACCUUAGGACUUGAUUUUAAACCCCAAUUUUACUCCUUUUUACUUGAAUAAUAUUUCUAAUCCUAUAAUUACUAGUUUUUCCUCAAUUUAACCUUAAAAAACAUCUUCGAUUCUUGAUUUUAAAAUAAAUUUCAAAGGUUUUAUUUGGUAAAGUUUAAAAAUGAUUUUUUUUUUCAAUUUGAACCUUAUUUUUAACUGGAUCUGGCUUGAGUUUUCAGUUGUAGAUUCAUAAAGGUAGGAGCAACACAUUUUUAAAAUAAAAUUUUGAUUUUGCCCUUUUUUAUUAAAAACCCCUUUGGAAGUUCAUUUUGACCUUGAACCAAUAGCAGGCAAUAUAGGUAUCUGAAACACACCAGAGUUUUGUCCCUUGGAAAUUUCUUGAGAUUUGAGCUUACUGUCUAGACUACGACUUGACUAUACAAGUCGUAUGGUGUCUUGAUGGGUCAGGUGACCCUAGUCGUAGGAUGUCCAGUAGUUAGUGGUUGGGUUUUCUAUCUUGGUUACAACGACUCAUUAAGGGUGGUGAUGAGUUAUUAGGAUAAACCUUAACCAAAUCAGUAACUUAGUGGCUUGACUUGGAUCUAAGUACGAGUGGCUCAGUAGGACACGUGAGGAAAGGUUAUGAGUCAUGAGGUAAAGUCAUAGGUUGUCUAGUGUCUGACCUAUUUGGGCACUGUGUUGGUCACAACCCGACCCUAUAGGUGAUAGAGUCAGGUUACGAGUGGGAUUAUGGAGUCAUAAGGUGUAAAGUGUAUGGGUAUCCUACUCACUGUCUAAGAUACGACUCAAGGCUAUGAGUCGUAGUGAUGUGGUGAUGAGUCAAUGGGUCGACUUAUAACCAAGGAUGACUUUUUACAGUUUUAAGUUGGGGGCAUUAUGGACAUUUUCCACUUUAAGUCUCUUUGAUACCUUGACUUGAAACCUUCUUUGAGACUUUAUUAAUACAUUAUUCCUAAUAAAAUACUCUCAAAUUCUCUCUUAAACUCUCUGUUCAAGCUAAGGCUAGGGUUUCAAAGAAAGUGUUCAUCUAGGGUUCUAAGGGUGCAAUCUCUUCUAAAUUUUUUGGUAUUUUAGGCAGGUUACUCAUCUCUCUUUAUUAUUUUACUUAUAAUAAAUAUUUUAAUGUAUGGGUUUCAUGGUAUUAUUAUGAUUUUGGAAUAAAGGUUGGGAGUUUUGAAUGCUUAUGUUUGAAUAAUGUUUCCCUAUGGUUUAAUUAUAGUUUUCAAUGUUUUAAAUAUGGUUUUGAACAUGUGGGUGCAUGGGUAUGAUGGUGGAAUUUGAUAAUGGUAACUUUCUCUAAACUUGUGACUUUUGAAGUGGUUAUGAUCCCAACCUAGUAUUGUAAAAUUUGGUUAGUAGUUAUGAGAAAGGUGAGAAUUUGAACUAGGGCUAAAUGGAAUCCCCGAAGUGUUUGGAUUAACUUAUUUCUUGAAAGUAAUGCAUGGUAUAAAUGGAUAAAUGGUUACGGAUGGUUUUGAAAACCUUGUAGAGUACACGAGAAUCCCUCGAGUGAUUAUAUAAUAAAAAUCUUGCUGGGUACAUGGGAAUCCCCUAAGUAAUUUUAAUAAUGGAGUCUGCGGGGUACAUGGAAAUCCUCUAAGUGUUGGCUAAUGACGUUUCUUGCAAGCUAUAGUUGGCAUGAAGAUACCACUUAAUAAUGACUUAAUAAUUACCUCCUGAAAUUGGUGGAUUAAUCAUAUGCGAAAUGGUUUAAUUGGGCGAUAAUGGGGGUUGUGAAGUCAUGUUUAUUGACAUGAGGGUUGGUCUUGGUAACCAUAUGCUUGUGGGGUACACGAGAAUUCCCUAAGUGGAAACUUGUAUAUAUUUAUCAUGGAGGGAUAGUGGUACACAAGAAUCCUCAAUCAUCUACGAUAUCUCUAAUUCGUGCAGCUACACGAACUGGGUCUCGUUCAUGGUUUAGCACUAGGACUCGUUCAGGAGGUAACGCUGGACCAAUAUAGCCCAUGGGUGGAUUUAUGAUGGUAAAGAUACACAAUUCAGGUUAAGGUUUUAAAUGAAUGCUAAAUCUUAUUCCCUAUCCCGUUAUGAUAUAUAUAUAUAUGUCUGUAUAUCAUUACAUAUGGUUAUUUGAUUUGGUUUUAAAUUAAUGGUAUUACUUUUUAUUUACCCCUGAGUUACAUGCUAACGUUCACCCCUCUAACCAUCUUUGGGUGCUGUAUCCCCACGUGAUGCAGGAACCGACCAUACUUUCACUCCUUCUGCUCAGUGACUUGGUGAUUCGGGGA